This 253-nucleotide ribosomal RNA is filed under the name uncultured bacterium. RNAcentral describes it as "partial 16S ribosomal RNA". It matches the Rfam family "Bacterial small subunit ribosomal RNA", at positions 524 to 776 of the family's 1533-position model. The record is from RNAcentral.
UACGUAGGGUGCAAGCGUUAAUCGGAAUUACUGGGCGUAAAGCGUGCGCAGGCGGUUAUGUAAGACCGAUGUGAAAUGCCCGGGCUUAACCUGGGAACUGCAUUUGUGACUGCAUGGCUAGAGUUUGGCAGAGGGGGGUAGAAUUCCACGUGUAGCAGUGAAAUGCGUAGAUAUCAGGAGGAACAUCGAUGGCGAAGGCAGCCCCUUGGACCUGUACUGACGCUCAUGCACGAAAGCGUGGGGAGCAAACAGG